This 363-nucleotide ribosomal RNA is filed under the name uncultured Streptococcus sp. Its description in RNAcentral is "bacterial SSU rRNA". It matches the Rfam family "Bacterial small subunit ribosomal RNA", at positions 1014 to 1382 of the family's 1533-position model. The record is from RNAcentral. Lineage: Bacteria; Bacillati; Bacillota; Bacilli; Lactobacillales; Streptococcaceae.
GGUCGGGGACGAGGGUGACAGGUGGUGCAUGGUUGUCGUCAGCUCGUGUCGUGAGAUGUUGGGUUAAGUCCCGCAACGAGCGCAACCCUCGACCUUAGUUGCCAGCAUUCAGUUGGGCACUCUAAGGUGACUGCCGGACUAAAGUCGGAGGAAGUGGGGAUGACGUCAAAUCAUCAUGCCCCUUAUGACCUGGGCUACACACGUGCUACAAUGGGCGGUACAAAGGGUCGCGAGUCGGUGACGGCGAGCUAAUCUCUUAAAGCCAAUCUCAGUUCGGAUUGUAGGCUGCAACUCGCCUACAUGAAGUCGGAAUCGCUAGUAAUCGCGGAUCAGCACGCCGCGGUGAAUACGUUCCCGGGCCUU